UUAUUUUAGUUUUUUCAAAUUAUCUAUACAUCUAUACAUAUACAUUAAUCUCCAUGACUAAAUCCUACAUGUACCCACCCCUUCCUUCCAAUCUCACGCAAAAAUCAAAUUUCACCUACCUUCCGAACUCAUGCAAGAGCCAAUUUUCACCUACAUUCCUACCUCAUGCAAAAAUCAAUUUUCACCUAUCAAAACCAAUUUUCACCUAUCACCCAAACUCAUGCAAAUAUCAAAAACCAAUUUUCACCUACCUUCCUACCUCAUGCAAAAACCAAUUUUCACCUAUCAUCCAAACUCAUGCAAAUGGUAAGCUUAACUUACCCUCUCAAAUUACACUAUAAAAAGAAAUGUGAGAAAGCAAUUUUAUAUUCAUCCAAUAAUAUAUCUCCUUUUUAAAUAUGUUAGCAAUUGUUUUUGCACUGUUAUUCUUGUAGUAGUGAUUUUAUAUUUGCUAGUCGGAGAAGUCGUAUUAGGAGAUUAUGUAAAUAAUGUACUUUUACCUAAAUAUCCAUACUUCAGUAAAUCAAAUAUGGAUUAUGCAUCAGGGCAAGGUAUAUC
This 558-nucleotide long non-coding RNA is filed under the name Ananas comosus (pineapple). RNAcentral's name for it is "long non-coding RNA (ACOM_LNC006077)". The record is from RNAcentral. Lineage: Eukaryota; Viridiplantae; Streptophyta; Magnoliopsida; Poales; Bromeliaceae.